This 463-nucleotide long non-coding RNA is filed under the name Theobroma cacao (cacao). RNAcentral describes it as "long non-coding RNA (TCAC_LNC006010)". Lineage: Eukaryota; Viridiplantae; Streptophyta; Magnoliopsida; Malvales; Malvaceae. The record is from RNAcentral.
AUCAGUAAAUAAUUCUUAUAGUGUAAAAGUUAAUUAUAUUCAUAUAUACUAUAAAGCAAAUAACCAAAUCAUAAAAUUACUUUUACAGCUACAUGUGGGCCCACAUCUAACCAAAAUGCAUUAGAAGCUAAAAACCUACAGCUUUUGCUGAUUCAAGUCCAAAUGAAGGUCCUUAUCAAAGUCAGCUAACUAUGGAAUUCUCCGAGCCUGAAAUGUGAGGAAAUGAGGGUGGUGAGAUUAUAAAAUCCCAGUGAGUAAACAGACACCAUCUAAACUAUCUAAAGGCGAGUAAAUGGAGACGAAUUAAAAUAAGUCAUCAUAUUGUAAUUUCAUUACCUUUCAACUCAUUUCAACCAAAUAAACAACUAGGCUUAUGAUUUCCUGAAAAGCUUGGCUCGUGCCAAAAAUCAUUCUCAUACUCAAUUAUCAAGGAUACCUUGAUCGAGGGUUAUCCCAACCAAGU